UGAGCAAUCUGCCCUUCUCUUCGGAAUAAGCGUUGGAAACGACGUCUAAUGCCGAAUACGACCUCCUUUCGCAUGAUCGGAGGUGGAAAGCUCCGGCGGAGAAGGAUGAGCUCGCGGCCUAUCAGCUUGUUGGUGAGGUAAUGGCUCACCAAGGCAUUGACGGGUAGCCGGCCUGAGAGGGUGACCGGCCACACUGGGACUGAGACACGGCCCAGACUCCGUAGGGAGG
Molecule: ribosomal RNA, 229 nt
Filed under: uncultured bacterium
Lineage: Bacteria
Description: partial 16S ribosomal RNA
Rfam family: Bacterial small subunit ribosomal RNA
Source: RNAcentral